Molecule: ribosomal RNA, 253 nt
Filed under: uncultured bacterium
Lineage: Bacteria
Description: partial 16S ribosomal RNA
Rfam family: Bacterial small subunit ribosomal RNA
Source: RNAcentral
UACGAGGGGUGCAAGCGUUGCUCGGAAUCAUUGGGCGUAAAGCGCACGUAGGCGGCUUUUUAAGUCAGGGGUGAAAUCCUGGAGCUCAACUCCAGAACUGCCUUUGAUACUGGGAAGCUUGAGUCCGGGAGAGGUGAGUGGAACUCCGAGUGUAGAGGUGAAAUUCGUAGAUAUUCGGAAGAACACCAGUGGCGAAGGCGGCUCACUGGCCCGGUACUGACGCUGAGGUGCGAAAGCGUGGGGAGCAAACAGG